GUGCUCGCUUCAGCAACACAUAUACUAAAACUGGAAUGAUACAGAGAAGAUUAGCAUGGCUUCUGCACAAGGAUGACACACAAAUUCAUGAAACAUUCCAUAUAUAU
Molecule: small nuclear RNA, 107 nt
Filed under: Salvator merianae (Argentine black and white tegu)
Lineage: Eukaryota; Metazoa; Chordata; Lepidosauria; Squamata; Teiidae
Source: RNAcentral